This 366-nucleotide ribosomal RNA is filed under the name uncultured bacterium. RNAcentral describes it as "partial 16S ribosomal RNA". It matches the Rfam family "Bacterial small subunit ribosomal RNA", at positions 338 to 701 of the family's 1533-position model. The record is from RNAcentral.
CCUACGGGAGGCAGCAGUGAGGAAUAUUGGUCAAUGGGCGCGAGCCUGAACCAGCCAAGUAGCGUGAAGGAUGACUGCCCUACGGGUUGUAAACUUCUUUUAUAAAGGAAUAAAGUGAGGCACGUGUGCCUGUUUGUAUGUACUUUAUGAAUAAGGAUCGGCUAACUCCGUGCCAGCAGCCGCGGUAAUACGGAGGAUCCGAGCGUUAUCCGGAUGGAUUGGGGUUAAAGGGAGCGUAGCUGGGUUGUUAAGUCAGUUGUGAAAGUUUGCGGCUCAACCGUAAAAUUGCAAUUGAUACUGGCAGUCUUGAGUACAGUUGAGGUAGGCGGCAUUCGUGGUGUAGCGGUGACAUGCUUAGAUAUCACG